This 1317-nucleotide long non-coding RNA is filed under the name Cicer arietinum (chickpea). RNAcentral describes it as "long non-coding RNA (CARI_LNC000241)". The record is from RNAcentral. Lineage: Eukaryota; Viridiplantae; Streptophyta; Magnoliopsida; Fabales; Fabaceae.
AAACCAGUGAUGAUUCCAUGACCUAUGGCUUUUUCUUAGAGUAUGCAAAAAAAAAAAAUUCAAUUAUCUUUAUGUGGUUCACCAAGAUAACUGAGACCUGGUGGUAAAGCUGGUUCAACCAUGACCCGAAAUCAGUGUCUUGAUUGUUCUUCCUUUAUCCAUUCUUCCACCAUGAAUGUGAUGAUUAGGUUAAUGCAGUGCACUUGAAACAUUAUGUGUGCAAUGUAUGUUACCUUCAUAUAAUUGAAAUAUGAAACCAGUAAUGCAUUACAAACAAAUGUCAUCUUAAUUAUCGAUCAAUUCUAACAACAAAACUAUAAAUAAUCAUUCGUUUAAUUGGAAAUCUGCACUUUAAAUUCUACAUUCAAAUCAGAAGUUGUGAUUAGAGGCAAGCUUGAUCACAGACAACCUAAUCAGAGGAGGCUUGACUAGAGGCAACAUGAUAUGAGAAAACAUGACCAGAAGUAAGACACAAGGGAAAUAGCAUAUGCUAACCAAGGAGACACGGUAGAGGCAAAGUAGAAGGAGAAAAUCAGAGCAAAGUUGAAGAGUGCUACUAGAGGCAAAAUAGAAGAAUAUUACCACAUUAAAAAUAUUUAGAACUGUAAAAGGGGAUCAGAGGCCAAUUGCCUAAAAACGUAAAAUAGCAAUCAGAGGCAAAAUACCCAGAAUUAGACGUAAGGAGGUACUCUUGAGGUUUUAAAAUAUACUAACCCUGUGUUUCACUCAUCAAAAUUUAUUGUAUUCUUUAGAUUUCUAGCAAUUCAUAACAUCACAAAUUUGAAUGCAUCAUACACAUUAUAUAUAAAAAUGCAGGAUUCAAAAGGUAGUUUCACAAAUAUUUAUUUCAUGCUAAAAUUUAUGAUUUCCCGUACCCUCAAAUUUUAUGAAACUCCAUAAAUCAUUUUAACUCUUUAAUAUUCAUUAGAAUCAACACCAAUAAACACCAUAAAAAAAUAAAAAAAUUUAAAGAACUCAUUGCUUUAUACAAAAGUUUUCUCUUCGAUUCUAGUUGAUUUGUGGUAGCUAUCUACUUCCCAGUUUUCUACCUCUUCGGUUUUCGCACCUUGCUCCAACUUUUUUGAAGUUUUUCCUUGUUGUUGCUUAUCUUCUCCUCAAUACGAUUUGAUCGAUUAUUGAUGGUUGAGGGAUGAGAUCGUGCAUGCAAUCGGUCAAAGCAAGUCUGAUGAGGUUUAGUAAAUUAAAAUUUUUGGAGAUUUUGAAAAAGAAAAAGGAAUAGAGGAUUUGGGGAAGAUGAUGAACAAUACGAUUUUGGGGUUUUCUCCCCGUUCUUGGGAUCGAGAAGGAAGAAAUAAG